UGAGGAAUUAUGCGCAAUGGACGAAAGUCUGACGCUGCGACGUCGCGUGGGUGAUGAAGGUCUUCGGAUCGUAAAACCCUGUCGAGAGGGAAGAAAGAGCGGGCGCUAAUAUCGCCUACUUCUGACGGUACCUCUGGAGGAAGCCCCGGCUAACUCUGUGCCAGCAGCCGCGGUAAUACAGAGGGGGCAAGCGUUGUUCGGAAUUACUGGGCGUAAAGGGCGUGUAGGCGGUAUGUUAAGUCUGGCGUGAAAGCUCUCGGCUAAACCGGGAGAGGUCGUUGGAUACUGGCAAACUAGAGGAUGGUAGAGGCGUGUGGAAUUCCGGGUGUAGUGGUGAAAUGCGUAGAGAUCCGGAGGAACACCAGUGGCGAAGGCGACACGCUGGGCCAUACCUGACGCUGAGGCGCGAAAGCUAGGGGAGCAAACGGGAUUAGAUACCCCAGUAGUCCCUGAGCGGGCUGGCAAGGCGCAU
RNAcentral lists this ribosomal RNA (472 nucleotides) under uncultured bacterium. RNAcentral describes it as "bacterial SSU rRNA". It matches the Rfam family "Bacterial small subunit ribosomal RNA", at positions 355 to 825 of the family's 1533-position model. The record is from RNAcentral.